GCAUGGCAAAAUAAAAAGUUACCAACCAAUGAAAAGAGCGAAACAAAGCUAUCAUAAUCAUAGCAUGGUUCAGGUUUUUAUGCAUAAAAUGCUUGGUUUUGCCUGACACAAUGCAUAAACAUAAAUUUCAAAAGAAAAUAGUCACAUAAAUGACCGAUCGUAGACUACACUUAUGAACAGUUAUUGAAUAAUCAAUCAAAUACACGCAAAAAUAGUAUAGCGCUGCUCAAAAGUCAUAACUUGAUUGAGAGAAAUAAAAAAAAGUUGCAAACUAAAAUCGAAGGAAACACAAUAAUAUAUGGCGAAAAACAACAGAACAGGAAAAACACUGACUAGCAACAAAAACAAAUGACAACAUACAUAAAAAAAGACCUAUGCGAUAACAACUGCAAUAUUCUUGACAGUGUACGGGACAUUUCACUCAAGAAAACAAAUGUUAUUUUGAACCUGGUUAUAUGACUAGCCACCCCUCUCCG
This 476-nucleotide long non-coding RNA is filed under the name Mytilus galloprovincialis (Mediterranean mussel). Lineage: Eukaryota; Metazoa; Mollusca; Bivalvia; Mytilida; Mytilidae. The record is from RNAcentral.